This 240-nucleotide unclassified non-coding RNA is filed under the name soil metagenome. RNAcentral describes it as "partial contains 5.8S ribosomal RNA, internal transcribed spacer 2, and large subunit ribosomal RNA". The record is from RNAcentral.
AACCAUUCUCACCUGCGGCUAGACCUGCGGAAGGAUCAUUACCGAGUUAGGGUGUCUGUUCGCAGCGCCCGACCUCCCAACCCUUUGUCUAUGAUACCUAAACAGUUGCUUCGGCGUGCCGAGGGGUCGUACCCUCGCCGGGCCUCGCGGCCGGGAGCGCGCACGUCGACGGCCUUUAUCUAACACUUGAACCCAAAACCUGUCGUCUGAAAACUUGUGAUUAACCAAUAAUCAAAAACA